GGGCGGGCAGCUCUGCAGCUGUUCCAACUUUCUGCCGCCUUCCCAGGCCACGAAGACUUGGGCUCUGGGCUUGUGCAAACUGGACUGGGGAAUGUGAGAGACCAGAUUCUCGAAACUUCUGCCACAGUGACCAGAUGCGUUCUGUUUGCAUUACGAACAUGUAGCCAAGCUGACUUCACAGAGGAUGAGAAGGACAAUCUAUUUGCUAAAAAAGCAGUGACUCCGACCUCACAAGCUAGAAGACCUGAUGUCUGGGCCCCCAAAACACGAUGGACAGCGCUUAUCCCCCACUGAGAGCGGAUGGGCAGGUGAGGACAGGGACAGUUGGCAGCCUGCCAGCCCUCCUCCUGCCCUGGGCUGUCUACUUUCCUGGCAGGUCACAAGCCAAAGCCCCUCAAGGCAAAUCAAUCCUGGAGGUGUCCAGGUGAGCUUGGGACAGGUAAGGGUACAAGGGCACUUUCCCUUGGGCACAAGUAGGAUUGCAGGGUGGUCCAGAGGAUGACACGGAAGCUGCAGCUGGAAAGCAGUGCCCCCUUGCCACUCCCUUCU
Molecule: long non-coding RNA, 549 nt
Filed under: Fukomys damarensis (Damara mole-rat)
Lineage: Eukaryota; Metazoa; Chordata; Mammalia; Rodentia; Bathyergidae
Description: lncRNA (ENSFDAG00000033563.1)
Source: RNAcentral